AGCGUAGGCGGAUUUUUAAGUGGGAUGUGAAAUACCCGGGCUCAACCUGGGUGCUGCAUUCCAAACUGGAAAUCUAGAGUGUCGGAGAGGAAAGCAGAAUUCCUAGUGUAGCGGUGAAAUGCGUAGAUAUUAGGAAGAAUACCAGUGGCGAAGGCGGCUUUCUGGACGAUAACUGACGCUGAGGCUCGAAAGCGUGGGGAGCAAACA
Molecule: ribosomal RNA, 207 nt
Filed under: uncultured bacterium
Lineage: Bacteria
Description: partial 16S ribosomal RNA
Rfam family: Bacterial small subunit ribosomal RNA
Source: RNAcentral